GGGUUGAUUGAAGAAUAGGGUUGUAAACAAGUAACUUCAAGGACAUCAGGCUCUGUUAGCAACUAUAGAGAAAAGGAAAUUACUAAGAUGAGCUUUGCCAGAACCCGCUGGUGGUGAUAUGACAACGAUCCUAAAACAAAGUGAUGAAGAAAUAAACACCAGGGGACACAAAGCCCACUACCACAUUUUAGUGUGCAUGUAGGAGGCAUUCUCUAAAAGUAUGAUGUAAUUUAUGUAACCUAACGAACAUGUAUGUUUAAGGACAAUAUAAUCACAGCCUGGUUGAUGCUUGGAUGAGACAUGCUAGGAGGAGCGAUCCCCAUGUCUCCUGGUACCACAAUAAAGAAUACCAGCCUGUCAACUUAAACACUGUUGGCGAGUUCCUGGAGAUUUCUCUGAAUCAAUUUGGCACCACAGAUGGGACCCUUUCUGCUUGGCUGCAGGACCCACUGAGGACAGGGCUCCCGAGGGCCCCCAGGACAGAUUUCCCUGGAGGGACCCCUUGACUCACUUGGAUCACUGCAGGAGCAGACAAGGACCAUGACUAUCAUUGUAAAGAAAAGCGAACAGGAAGAUCUCCCUGAAAUUGAAGAACUCCUCAAUCAGGUAUAUCUGGGAGUAUGGGCAUCUGAAGUUCCAGGUAAGGCGAAAAAAUUCUUUGCCUGUUAAAGUAGAAAUAAAAGGGGAGCCUGCCCAAUUAGAAUAAAACAGUAUCCCUUAAAAUUGGAGGAUCGAAAGGGAAUCAAAGAAAUCAUUGAUAAAUUCUUAAAAUAUUGAUUAUUAAUUGAAUGUGAAUUGGAAUAUAAUACUCCUAUCUUGCCAGUAAAGAAAUCCGAUGGUAAAAGUUACAGAUUAGUUCAAGAUCUCAGAGCAAUCAACCAAACUGUG
Pezoporus occidentalis (night parrot) is the source of this 888-nucleotide long non-coding RNA. RefSeq lists it as uncharacterized. The record is from RefSeq and is a predicted model, not a curated record. Lineage: Eukaryota; Metazoa; Chordata; Aves; Psittaciformes; Psittacidae. The transcript has 2 exons.